GAUGAACGCUGGCGGUAUGCUUAACACAUGCAAGUCGAAUGGUCACUUCGGUGAUAGUGGCGGACGGGUGAGUAACGCGUGAGAAUCUGUCUUCAGGUCGGGGACAACAGUUAGAAAUGACUGCUAAUACCGGAUGUGCCUUUGGGUGAAAGAUUUAUUGCCUGAAAAAGAGCUCGCGUCAGAUUAGCUAGUAGGUGGUGUAAGAGACUACCUAGGCUCCGAUCUGUAGCUGGUCUGAGAGGACGAUCAGCCACACUGGAACUGAGACACGGUCCAGACUCCUACGGGAGGCAGCAGUGGGGAAUUUUCCGCAAUGGGCGAAAGCCUGACGGAGCAAUACCGCGUGAGGGACGAAGGCUUUUGGGUCGUAAACCUCUUUUCUCAAGGAAGAUGAUGACGGUACUUGAGGAAUAAGCAUCGGCUAACUCUGUG
Molecule: ribosomal RNA, 432 nt
Filed under: uncultured bacterium
Lineage: Bacteria
Description: partial 16S ribosomal RNA
Rfam family: Bacterial small subunit ribosomal RNA
Source: RNAcentral